This 264-nucleotide unclassified non-coding RNA is filed under the name fungal sp. RNAcentral describes it as "partial internal transcribed spacer region". The stretch from base 1 to 46 matches the Rfam family "Eukaryotic small subunit ribosomal RNA", at positions 1786 to 1831 of the family's 1831-position model. The record is from RNAcentral. Lineage: Eukaryota; Fungi.
AAGUCGUAACAAGGUAUCCGUAGGUGAACCUGCGGAUGGAUCAUUAUCACGUUAUCCACGUAUCAACCAUUGUGAACUUGUACUCUUUUGAUGAAGACUUGGGUGUAAUAACUCUUGUUUUUAUCAAAUAACUUUUUAUUAUUAACUAUUUAAACUACUUAUAAUAAUUAAUUAAUGAACUGAAACAUUCUUUACUCUUUCGGGAGAAGGAAUAUAAAUUACGAAACAUAAGAACAACUCUUAGCAACGGAUAUCUUGGUUCCC